Molecule: transfer RNA, 424 nt
Filed under: uncultured Gammaproteobacteria bacterium
Lineage: Bacteria; Pseudomonadati; Pseudomonadota; Gammaproteobacteria
Description: 16S-23S ribosomal RNA intergenic spacer
Rfam family: tRNA (bases 81-154)
Source: RNAcentral
AAACGACGAACCGCAAGGGGCGUCGAAGCACCCACACAAGUUACCUGAAUGAAGGGUCUGCGGACCCGCAAGAACACCUUGGGUCUGUAGCUCAGUUGGUUAGAGCGCACCCCUGAUAAGGGUGAGGUCGCUGGUUCAACUCCAGCCAGACCCACCAUCUGCGAAGCCCUGCGGGGCCAUAGCUCAGCUGGGAGAGCGCCUGCCUUGCACGCAGGAGGUCGGGAGUCCGAUCCUCCCUGGCUCCACCAAACCUGGGGUUGUGUCAAGCCCUCAAGGCUCCUGGGAGUAUUGAGGGCUUCGCAUCGGCGAAGACAAGGUUCUUUAAAAAUUAGGUUAGAUCGUUGAAGGCGCAAGCUAGACCAAGAGGUCUAGCGGGAUGCGUUACGAGUGUCAGCGUAUGACUCCAAAGAUUUUGGGGUUAUAU